CAGAUGCCCCUCUUAGUUAAUCCUCUCUGGAAAAGCCUUUGACCAACCCAAAGGUAUACCUGUGUCUCCUAGGCGAUGCUAAAUCCAAUCAAAUAUGGCAACCAAAACUAGCUAUCACAACAUCUGGACCACAUAAGUCAUUCAUCCAGAGAAGUAUCCUACAUGCAAGACAUUAGAAGUAUCCGUGGUAGAUAUAUAGUUUAGGUGUUAUGUUGCAUAUAUGUAGUCCCAUCUGCUUGGAAGGCUAAGGUGGGAAGAUCUCUUGAGUCCAGAAGGUCAAGGACAGCCUGGAUAAGAAAAUUUCAUCUGCGUCCAACACAGUGCCAAUAGUGUAACAAACGCAUCAACUUCUAAGAAGCCAGAUGAGAGACUACAUAUGAGUAACCUCAGGCAACCUGCCUGAAUUGUCCACAACCCACGAUGAAAAUUGAAAUCCUUUCCAAGAACCUUGACUCACGCAUACAGACCUAAGAUCCAGCUAGGUUUAACUUUUACUUCUCCGCGCACCACGGCAUCAAAAUUCAUUUCCCCAAAGAGCAAGGCAAUGCCAGAUUCCAAAAGAAGAGAAAAACAACCGGGUCAAGAAACCUUCCCACAUCACAAGCACGCUCAAACGCAGCGAGCUCACGUCCGAGGGGCACGGCGCUAGGUGGCAGAAGAGAGCCGGAGACGCGCUAGGCCGACUGCAGCAGCCGCUGAGCAUCUCUUCUAGUUCCUUCCCACUUUACCCUGGCUCAGGCCUCAAAGGCUCAGCCGAAUUCUAACAACAGGUUCUUCAUUAAGGGGUACACUGCUACGAGAUAAACAUGGCUUUUUCAGCCGCUCAAUUGCAUCCUAUUUGAAGAGAUUAUGCCCAUAUUCCAGGCUCCUUUGCUGUACAACGCUGUUUAGCAAACCAGUUCAAAACCCUGGCCCCACCCGGCACCCCUUCCCUCAGCAACACAAGCACAUCUAGGUGAGUUUCGAGGUUUAGGGUCAUCUAGAGGCUGAAUUACUUACAAAUGUCGCCUCCCCAAGAUGCACUGAGCUUCAGGAUGGAACCUCUGCUCCGGAGGCAGCCCCCACUGGACCAGACAUCAGCUGAAGCCGCCCUAAGGCUUGAAUGAGGUCCUCACGAGGAGGAAUGCUAGGCCUUCCAGAUGUGCAAACCUCAACUAUUUGGUUUCUUAGGCAGCGGGUAUUUGAGUGGUUUCAGUGGCGUCCAAAUCUUCCAAACCCUUUCCUUAGCUUCAAAAGGGUACCAGGGCUUUCUUAAAGGGUUGUAAGGACUAAAGAAGGUAUGGGAUCCAUCGAUGAGUGUUUUGUGUGACAAUUGGUCACACUACUCAGUAAAUGUAGCUAUGGUUAUCAUCUCCCAAAUGAGACAGGAAGCAGGAAGGUUUUCUGAAGCAAGGUCCAGUCCUCAUUGACCUCACUAUUACCACUCUCGUUAUGCCCCCACCCCCACUCCAGGCUUUUGUUAGAUGGGGUGAAUUUGGUGUUUUCACCUGGAUGUGAUGAAAUGUCUUGCUUCUACAGUAUCUAUGGCAUAAUCUUCCCGGCUCCUGCUACAGGAAGCAGAUCCUGUGCUUUUGACAUGUGUCUCCAUCACUUAGAGCUAUGAAAUCCAGGGCAGCUGGCUUCAUCCUCCCGAGCUGCGUUUCACCAUCUGAAAAUGGAGGACAGCAUGAGGACUUUUCUCGAUAGGUCAUUUAUGAGACUGAGACGGCUAACUGUCACAGAUGACGUGAGAAGUCAGCAGAUGUUAGGUGCCGGCAGGGUUAGAUUUAUUAUGCCCACACGUCCACUCUCAGAGCUUGUGGGGCUAAGGUGGGCUUCUUAUGGUGACUAAGGAACGAAUUGGACCUGGCUUCUGGAAUCAUACUUCCUGGUGCUUCAAGCUCUUGAUGCAAAGGCAACACAUAGUUUAAUGAUGUUAGUUUAACCUGGGGGAGAAUCUAGGACGGAGAAAAUGCCCCUGUACCAUUACAGUUUGAAACAAGGGGUAUUGUGCUGCAGAUACGUGAAGCUAAAUCUCAGCUUUACUACUUAGUCCCCAGAUAACUUUGUCAAAGUUACAAUAUUCUCUCUGAACUUCGCUUUCUACAUUUAUAAAAAUAGGGAUCAUUGUAAACCCUGCAUAAUCAAGAAUGAAGAUUACAUGCAGAAAUCCACUUGAAAUGCUAGACAAGUUCCAGUAAAGGUUUGCUUUAUUAGUCAUGCUGGUAUUAAUACAUCUAAUAUUGCCAUCAAGCCUUGGAGAUAGGGAGAGCAUUCUGAAUGUAGCUCUUGCAUUAUGACUAGGAUUUGGAUAAAGCCAAGGAAAUCUGCUGGCAAGAAGAACAAACCACAAGAAAGGGGGAAAGUCAGCAGCAGCCACCGAGUAGCUGAGUUUGGACUCACUGAACACUUCAGGGUGUGUUUAGGAUGUCAUCUUUCUCAAUUAUUUGGGGCUGCAGUUUUUCCUGGGAAGAUGGACUAUUCAUGGGGAAACUAGGGAAGUCAGGAAAUAAGAACCUUGUUCAUUCAUUCAUUAGAGAAUUUGUGCUCCAAACACACAGAUACCCUAAAGUUCAUGAGAAUAACUGAAAAGGACAGGGAGAAACCAGCAAGACUGAAGACUCAGUGGGUAGAAACACGGAGCAUACGACCUGCCGCCCUGAGCUCAAUGCCUAGAACUCAUACAGAGGUGGAAAGGAAGAACCGAUUCCACAGUGUUGUCCUCUGCCCUCCGCACACACAGUGAUAAUGAAACAGUGAACAUUUAAAGGAGACUGUUUGAACUGGGGGGUAACUGCUUAAAAGAGAGUUUCAGGAAAUCAGAGAUUAAGAUGAGAGCAUUCUCCCUUCCUCAUUGCUGUUCCCAUAGUCCUUUGUUUGUAUCCUUCCUCUAAUGUUACAGCUGUGUUAAAUAUUAGUGUGUCCUCGAAAGCCUGCAAUCGAAUGUCCUUGAUGCAAAUAUGGCAUCUUUACCAUCUUAUCUCCAUGUUGUCUUGUGUAAUGUAACCUCAAUAUGUUUUGUAUUGAAUCGAAAACCUAUGAUUCUAUGCAAUAUUUGCUGUUCCUCUUUGCUCAAAAAUUGAACAUCAGGUUUCUGUGUGCCGAGUGAUUUUUCUUCUGGUGACAUAUAAAGUCAAUCCAUUAAAACAUUGAUUGGAAAGUCUGCACAUGCUCCUCUCUGUUAGUGAAGAAAGUUUUCUUCUUGGUUCCUUCAGCUAGCAAGUGCUUAGUAAUGUGGUGGUCCCUGGGACAGAGACAAAGAGCUGAUGUUCUCCACUUUGUUAAAGGACACAGUCCAAUCCCCAUGAAGCAGAGUAAUGGGUAGAAAGACUACACAACCUUCAAAUGGGCUUAAAGUUAUUUUCAAAUGCUUAACUACUGAUUGGGGAGGUCCUUCUGUGUAUGUUUAUCUUAUUGGUUGUUGAAUAAAGCACUGUUGGCCAAUAGGGGAGGAAAAUAGCUGGGACUAGGAGUCGAGGAGAAUUCUGGGAAAUGUAGGAAAGAGAAGUCUUGUGAUCCAGGCAGGAAGUAACAUAACAGGCAGACUCAGAAUAUAAGCAGGGACAAUCAGAAAGUUGAUCUCUUCCUCUUCCUCCUCCUCUCUGUGGAGCUGCCAUGUGAUCCCAGGAAGGCAGGACGCUUUCCACCAGCAUCCUCCAUAAGAUAAGUCUUAUAAAAUAUAAAGAUUAGUAGUUAUGGUUGAUAAAUAAGACUGAGUUAACAUUUAAGAAAUCCUAGUUAUUGGCCAGCAGUAUUG
Molecule: long non-coding RNA, 3736 nt
Filed under: Cricetulus griseus (Chinese hamster)
Lineage: Eukaryota; Metazoa; Chordata; Mammalia; Rodentia; Cricetidae
Description: lncRNA (ENSCGRG00015036687.1)
Source: RNAcentral